GUUUAAAGUGCAUAGGGAGAGAUUGUUUUCUUUCCCCCUCCUUGCACCUAGCAGGGAGAGGAGUGUGCGGAAAGAUGGAGUUGAGACAGAAACUUGUUAGCAUAACACCGAAGGAGUUUUGCUGUGAGUAGCAUCAGCAUAGCAGGAGAACAUCCCUAGCUCUCCUGCCGCUGCUCUGCCACAAGGAGAGAAAGGGAAAAGCAAAUUCAGCAGGACCUCUAGGACUUUGCUGUAGAUCUCCAGGUGGAGCCAGGACCCUCCAGGAGAACUGAUGGCUAGAAAAGACUGCAAGUAAUGUGGAGGAAGGAAGAAGAGAGAGAGCAGAGAGAGAUGAUUCUUGCAAACAUUGAUCUGUGUAGAGCGGAUGUCAACUUGAUGGGAUAAGACCUGGGUUGACUUGGUAUCUGGGUUCAGGUCAGCAAACUCUAACGGCAUUUCCUUCUACUAGCAGACAGAUCUGCUCAUCCUGCGACAUUGUGGACAGUGCUGAAUGGCUUCCAGAACAUUCCUCUUAUGUCUACUGGUUAAACUUUGAAGCAUCUGAACCAUUUGGGAGAGCAGGGACCCCCAUGAACAGGAGAUACUGGAGGUGUCUGAGGCCACUUCAUGCCCUUUCUCAAGAGUGGCCUGCAGGUCUUUCAGCCACUGGCCACUGAAGUCCAGCUCCUGCCAGCCAUGGAUUUGGGCACUGGGCUCCAGUGUUGAGAAAGUUCUUGACUUCCAGCGCUUGUUUUCCUAGUGGACAAUAGGAGUCAGAGACAGAGAGGGAGAGUGAAGAUGCAGAAGACAUAUCCUUUCCAUUGUGACCCAGAUAAGAAUGUAGCCGAGAAGACACACUGCUGCGAAAGGAAGAAAUCGUUGGUUUUUCUCCAACUGCUUAGCUGUUAAGAAGCAAGAAGCCUAUCUCCAAGGCAGCAGCAGGCCUCAGAGAAAACAGUAGGACCCUUCCUUCAAACAAAGGAGAAAACUCCCACAACUCAAAGCAAGUGCCCCCUGGUCAUUCUCUCAAAAAGCUACAGGCUCCAAAAAAAGACAGACUUCACAGGCUAGAGACGGGCUCUGCACUCAGGGUUGGUGGUCGGGGGCACAGAGCUGGCUGGGCAGGGCCAGAGGGGACCACAUUCUGCCACAUGCAGAGCAAAGCAGUAUCUUUCUAUUACUGGUCAAUGUAAUAUGAGCUGGGAAUGAGCAAUUUCAUACCUUUUUCUGAGAUAUUAAAAAGAAAUACGCUGAUGUGGCUGGAGGUAAUUUCCCAAAGCCUGUGGAUGGAGUUGAUGUCAGUAACUGGCUAUGAGGUUGUUAUUUACAGGACUGUUUGAUCCCACUGAAGUAGUGGUGCUUAAUAUGUAGCUCAAUGUGGCUCAGGAGCGAGGCCCAAUACUGCAUAUAAACCACCAUCCUGCAAUUUAUCCAGAGAGCAUGUGGGAGGUGAACCUUGAAUCAUUUGCUUGAUGGAUUUUUUUCUUUCCUUGGAAACAGAAAAACGAAUCUCAGUUUUCUCCCUAAGCCUUAGGCAACAGGGCUCCUUGCAAGUCACCUUCCCUUCCUUGUCCCCAAAACAAAGAUGCAUACAUGUUCCCCGAGCACUGCAAACACAGCCUUUCUUUCAGGGGCAGCUGGGUCCCUGGAUCCGCUUUCCCUCCCCUGGGCUGGUCCCAGUGUAAAUCAUCAGAUCUCCAGGUCCACUCGUCUGCACACAGGCUGCUUUGUAAGUGGGAGAAAGAAUCCACAGAACUUUACACUAAAUCCCCAUGGGAACCAGGUGAAUAGGUGUGUGUGUUUGCACACAAGCCCGUAUACAUGGCAAACCAAUCCAAGAGAUGGUGACCGAUGGGUCCAUAAAGACUCUGGCUGGCAAUGCUGUCAGCUUCCUUCAGCUGAGCGUCAGUUAGUUACCCUGGUAGUCUCAAAUGUCUCCUUGUGUCUGGAGACAACAUAGGGCCUGGCCCUGAGGACUGCCAGGCUGGGUCGCCCGGCAGCUGCACCUGUUGUAGGCUGGGUAGGCCCCCUAAAAUGCUUUGGGCAGCCCAAGAGUGUCUUCCUGAGUCAUGUGGAGCUGCCUCACCAGCAGCCCAGUGAGAGAUUCACAGCCCUAGUGGAGAGUGGAAGCCCUGGGCUAUCCCAAGCAAUCCUUGCGUCUGUGGGGCUGGUGCCGCCCCUUUGCGUCUCUUCUUGCAGCUAAGCAGAGCUCAGAGGCCAGGAAAAAAGCCACUGGGUGUCUUUGGAAACAGCUGACCUGAUUUUCAACAUUCCCUUUGAGCAUUUGCUAAAGGGGCACCACAGAAGGGCAUUAAGGAUGCCACCGUGGAAGGAAGCUGCAGAUGACAGAAGCGUGAGCACUGCUGGAAAAUGAGAAAGCUGAGUUGGGACUGCGUGCCAUGGAGAACCUGUACUGUCACCCUCCCCAGCCAUCUGACUACCAGCAGCUUCAGCAGCAUCAUCAUUUGCAUUCAUUCAUCUCUUUUCCUCACUCCCUCCCUCGAUGAAUCUCUUUGGGAAUGAUCUUCAAAAACUUUGCUUAGGUUUCAAGGUGCUUUUGAUUCACUGUAUUUUUCUUUAAAUAAGCCUUUUAAUUGAGCACAACGUUCAUAGAGAGAAGCGCACACAUCCUGAGGGGUCAGCCCAAAGAAUUUUCAGAAAGUGAACACGUGAGGGUGGCAAGCACCUGGACUAGGAACCAGAACACCGCCAGCGCCCCAGAUGUGCCCUUUUAGUCCACUUCUAGUCACUGUGCUCCCAUGAGGGUGCUCACCCUACCCUCUAGUACUGACAUUGAUGUUGCUUAUUUGUGAACUUCACUUGAAUGAACUCAUGCAACAGCGUGUCUGUGAGGUUCAUGCACGUUUCUGAACGUGGGAUCGCUGAAGUGUGGGGUUGUAUUCGAAACUGUAGUUUGCACUCAAAGAACAGCAAGUGGAAGAAAAUUACUUUGGAAAGGAAUUUUCAAAUCGAGUGUGAAUGAGAGGGUCUUUGGGACUUUGGCCUUUGGAGUUGAGCUGACCUAAAGGUAGAAGGUGAACUAGGAUCCUCUUAGCUCCCCACUCCACUCUGAACUGUGCUCCCAGGGCAAUCCAGCUUCUGCUCUCUUUUACUACUACUUCAUGUAAUGAUAAAAAUUAUGUCAGGUUAAAUAUCAGUAAUUGCUUAAGUGAGUUUGUAUAUCAAGCUGUGUAGUAACGCCUCACUGAAACACUGCUCAGCUGAGACUGAGAUUCAGUGUGUUGACGAAAA
Molecule: long non-coding RNA, 3231 nt
Filed under: Homo sapiens (human)
Lineage: Eukaryota; Metazoa; Chordata; Mammalia; Primates; Hominidae
Description: HSALNT0331910
Source: RNAcentral